This 460-nucleotide ribosomal RNA is filed under the name uncultured bacterium. RNAcentral's name for it is "partial 16S ribosomal RNA". It matches the Rfam family "Bacterial small subunit ribosomal RNA", at positions 338 to 795 of the family's 1533-position model. The record is from RNAcentral.
CCUACGGGAGGCAGCAGUGAGGAAUAUUGGUCAAUGGACGAGAGUCUGAACCAGCCAAGUAGCGUGAAGGAUGACUGCCCUAUGGGUUGUAAACUUCUUUUAUAUGGGAAUAAAAUGUUCCACGUGUGGGAUUUUGUAUGUACCAUAUGAAUAAGGAUCGGCUAACUCCGUGCCAGCAGCCGCGGUAAUACGGAGGAUCCGAGCGUUAUCCGGAUUUAUUGGGUUUAAAGGGAGCGUAGGUGGAUUGUUAAGUCAGUUGUGAAAGUUUGCGGCUCAACCGUAAAAUUGCAGUUGAAACUGGCAGUCUUGAGUACAGUAGAGGUGGGCGGAAGGCGGGGUGUAGCGGUGAAAUGCAUAGAUAUCACGCAGAACCCCGAUUGAGAAGGCAGCAUACCGGCGCCCUACUGACGCUGAGGCACGAAAGUGCGGGUAUCGAACAGGAUUAGAUACCCCAGUAGUC